RNAcentral lists this long non-coding RNA (306 nucleotides) under Cottoperca gobio. Its description in RNAcentral is "lncRNA (ENSCGOG00000006051.1)". The record is from RNAcentral. Lineage: Eukaryota; Metazoa; Chordata; Actinopteri; Perciformes; Bovichtidae.
CUCCCAGCCAGCAGGGGGCGCUGUGUGACAGUGAAACAGAGCAGACCCCGGGGAACUGUUGUGGUGUCCGGAAGAACGCUGCCGUGAGCUGUGUCUUCACAUACUAACGGCUGACUUCUCACUGCGCAGCUGCGAGCCGCCGCCGCUCCGCUGUCUGUCCGUCCGUCUGUCUGUCUGUCUGCACACGUCGUGACUUGUGACCCAGUUUGGUUUGGUUACCUAGACUGAGUGGGAUGAAACAUCAGGAGUCUGAACACGGACCAAAGAGGGUCACGUCUGAAUAAAGUGACUCUGAGUCAAAGAAGU